RNAcentral lists this long non-coding RNA (955 nucleotides) under Homo sapiens (human). Its description in RNAcentral is "psoriasis susceptibility 1 candidate 3, transcript variant 11 (PSORS1C3)". Lineage: Eukaryota; Metazoa; Chordata; Mammalia; Primates; Hominidae. The record is from RNAcentral.
GUUUUGUCUGGGGCUCGUCCUGCUACAUUUCUUGGUUCCCUGAACAGGAAGCGAGGUAACUGACGGACGGCCAAGGCAGCCCCUUGGGUGGCUUAGGCCUGCCCUGUGGAGCAUCCCUGCGGUGGACUCUGGCCAGCCUGAGUGACGCGAUCCAAAGAGCGCUCCCGGGUAGGAAAUUCCCCGGGUGGAACGCCUCGCCAGAGCAGCACGUAGCAGGCCCCCGAGGAGGAUUAACACACUGGCUGAACACUGGGAAGGAACUGGCACUUGGAGUCCGGACAUCUGAAACUUGCAACCCACUCUCUGUGCUAUGACUUCAUUACUCUUUCCCAGCCCAGCCCUGGGCAAGCCCCUUACGAAGUCUCAGGCUACCUGGAUGACCACCCUUUCUUAUGAUGCUGCAAGGAGGGCAGGUGGGCAGAGCCCCGUGCAUCCUGGGCUCAGGCCAGGGACCCAAGAGCUUGGGAGAAGCUGGUUCUCAGACUGAAGGCCAGAGCCCAGCACCUUGUCACCAUCCCGGGGAGCAUCAUGGCACACAACAACCAGAGCCAAGGGGAAAACCUGCCAGAUUCCCCAGGAAGGAUGCUUGGAGGUGUGCAGAGAAGUCUACAUUCCCAUGUCAAGCUACAGCUAGAGAGUUGACUCCUCUAUUUGAGAUUGACAGGCCUCGGAAGUCAAAAUAAGUGGUUUCCUAGACCGGGUCGAGAGCAAGUCUCUAUUGGUCCCAACUGAGUUUUUUCAGCUGGUUUUUCAACCAAACAGCACCUCAUCUCCCAGUGAGGGGAAGGGAAGGCUGGGCUGAGAGCAGCAAGGCUGCUCAUCUCACCUCUCCCCACCCAGCCAUGCCAGCCGCCUCACCUGGUGGGGAGAGGUGGGCCUCACCUGGGUCCCCUGGCAGUGCUCUGUGAAGGGUCUUGACAUUGCACUGUAAUAAUAAAGGUGUGUGUGAAGUAUC